RNAcentral lists this ribosomal RNA (1466 nucleotides) under uncultured organism. Its description in RNAcentral is "partial small subunit ribosomal RNA". It matches the Rfam family "Bacterial small subunit ribosomal RNA". The record is from RNAcentral.
CGGCGUGCCUAAUACAUGCAAGUCGAGCGAACGGACGAGAAGCUUGCUUCUCUGAUGUUAGCGGCGGACGGGUGAGUAACACGUGGAUAACCUACCUAUAAGACUGGGAUAACUUCGGGAAACCGGAGCUAAUACCGGAUAAUAUUUUGAACCGCAUGGUUCAAAAGUGAAAGACGGUCUUGCUGUCACUUAUAGAUGGAUCCGCGCUGCAUUAGCUAGUUGGUAAGGUAACGGCUUACCAAGGCAACGAUGCAUAGCCGACCUGAGAGGGUGAUCGGCCACACUGGAACUGAGACACGGUCCAGACUCCUACGGGAGGCAGCAGUAGGGAAUCUUCCGCAAUGGGCGAAAGCCUGACGGAGCAACGCCGCGUGAGUGAUGAAGGUCUUCGGAUCGUAAAACUCUGUUAUUAGGGAAGAACAUAUGUGUAAGUAACUGUGCACAUCUUGACGGUACCUAAUCAGAAAGCCACGGCUAACUACGUGCCAGCAGCCGCGGUAAUACGUAGGUGGCAAGCGUUAUCCGGAAUUAUUGGGCGUAAAGCGCGCGUAGGCGGUUUUUUAAGUCUGAUGUGAAAGCCCACGGCUCAACCGUGGAGGGUCAUUGGAAACUGGAAAACUUGAGUGCAGAAGAGGAAAGUGGAAUUCCAUGUGUAGCGGUGAAAUGCGCAGAGAUAUGGAGGAACACCAGUGGCGAAGGCGACUUUCUGGUCUGUAACUGACGCUGAUGUGCGAAAGCGUGGGGAUCAAACAGGAUUAGAUACCCUGGUAGUCCACGCCAUAAACGAUGAGUGCUAAGUGUUAGGGGGUUUCCGCCCCUUAGUGCUGCAGCUAACGCAUUAAGCACUCCGCCUGGGGAGUACGACCGCAAGGUUGAAACUCAAAGGAAUUGACGGGGACCCGCACAAGCGGUGGAGCAUGUGGUUUAAUUCGAAGCAACGCGAAGAACCUUACCAAAUCUUGACAUCCUUUGACAACUCUAGAGAUAGAGCCUUCCCCUUCGGGGGACAAAGUGACAGGUGGUGCAUGGUUGUCGUCAGCUCGCGUCGUGAGAUGUUGGGUUAAGUCCCGCAACGAGCGCAACCCUUAAGCUUAGUUGCCAUCAUUAAGUUGGGCACUCUAAGUUGACUGCCGGUGACAAACCGGAGGAAGGUGGGGAUGACGUCAAAUCAUCAUGCCCCUUAUGAUUUGGGCUACACACGUGCUACAAUGGACAAUACAAAGGGCAGCGAAACCGCGAGGUCAAGCAAAUCCCAUAAAGUUGUUCUCAGUUCGGAUUGUAGUCUGCAACUCGACUACAUGAAGCUGGAAUCGCUAGUAAUCGUAGAUCAGCAUGCUACGGUGAAUACGUUCCCGGGUCUUGUACACACCGCCCGUCACACCACGAGAGUUUGUAACACCCGAAGCCGGUGGAGUAACCUUUUAGGAGCUAGCCGUCGAAGGUGGGACAAAUGAUUGGGGUGAAAU